Molecule: long non-coding RNA, 569 nt
Filed under: Carica papaya (papaya)
Lineage: Eukaryota; Viridiplantae; Streptophyta; Magnoliopsida; Brassicales; Caricaceae
Description: long non-coding RNA (CPAP_LNC012553)
Source: RNAcentral
GAGAAAAUACGUUAUGGGACCUCAGUUGGUCGAAAAAAGUCAAAAAACGGAAACGUACCGACGACAAUUUUUCGAUAUAACGACUCCAUCGGCUCACCUUCGCUGCUGGAUAUUUUUCUUUAGUCAACCAGUAGAAAACAAAACGGAGAACACAAUUGUAGAAAAAUCACACGAAACAAAAAAAGAGAAGGAGCUCAUCGGAGACGAUUUCAGGUUUUACCCGCGACGGUGCCGCCGGUCUUUACAUGCAGUUUUCAGCUCAUUUGUCAUUCUUUUUGCUCUGAUUUGAUCAUGGAGGUGCUCGAAAUCAAAUUUCGAGCGAAUAGAAGAAUUUUUACCUUUUUGGCAGUCAGAGGUGGCUCUGGUGCAGCGGUGGGCAGCGAUCAGCUCCAUUCUCCCGCGACUGGUUCUUCUUCUUCGGCAAGAGGCUGAAGGCUAGGGUUUGAGUUUGGUGUGAUGCGAGAUAUUUAUACUCGUCUCACUUAAAUUUGGACCGUUCUUCGCAUUUGAUUUAGACCGUCCGACCACGUUUAAAGAAAAAAUAAAUAUGGACUGUUCAUUACGAUUUG